UCCCCCUUAGCUCAGUCGGUAGUAGCGAGCGGCUGUUAACCGCUAGGUCGUCUGUUCGAGUCAGACAGGGGGAG
This 74-nucleotide transfer RNA is filed under the name Oscillospiraceae bacterium. Its description in RNAcentral is "tRNA-Asn". Lineage: Bacteria; Bacillati; Bacillota; Clostridia; Eubacteriales; Oscillospiraceae. The record is from RNAcentral.